This 72-nucleotide transfer RNA is filed under the name Camelus bactrianus (Bactrian camel). It matches the Rfam family "tRNA". Rfam says of the family: Transfer RNA (tRNA) molecules are approximately 80 nucleotides in length. Their secondary structure includes four short double-helical elements and three loops (D, anti-codon, and T loops). The record is from Rfam by way of RNAcentral. RNAcentral also lists the same sequence under 1 other name. Lineage: Eukaryota; Metazoa; Chordata; Mammalia; Artiodactyla; Camelidae.
GGAGGUAUAGCUCAGGGAUAGACUGCAUGCUUGGCAUGCACAAAGUCCUGAGUUCAACCCUCAGUGCCUCCC